This is a long non-coding RNA of Pongo pygmaeus (Bornean orangutan), 1008 nucleotides long. RefSeq lists it as uncharacterized. The record is from RefSeq and is a predicted model, not a curated record. The transcript is spliced from 5 exons. NCBI's taxonomy places the organism in Eukaryota, Metazoa, Chordata, Mammalia, Primates, Hominidae.
UCCUUUUGUUGCGGCUUUGAGGUCUGGUUAGGUGGUUAUUAUGGGCUUGCCGAAUCCACUGCAUCUUCGCCUCAACCCACUCUCCAACCCUCCUACCCCCACUUAGAUUUCAAGUUCCUUAGGGAGGUAGAUCUUUUUUUUUUUUUUUUUUUUUUUGAGACAGAGUCUCCCUCUGGAGUGAGUGCAGUGGCACGAUCUUGGCUCACAGCAAGCUCCGCCUCCGGGUUCACGCCAUUCUCCUGCCUCAGCCUCCGGAGUAGCUGGGACUACAGGCGCUCACCACCACGCCUGGCUAAUUUUUUUUUUGUAUUUUUUUUUUUUUUUUUUUUGUAGAGAUGGAGUUUCACCGUGUUAGCCACCAUAGUCUCGAUCUGUCAGGAGUUCCAGCCAUGCGAGAUUUCUGUGAAGGAUUUAAACAAGAGAAAAACAAAGGAGAAGUAAGCAGCCUGCAAAGAAAUGUUUAGAAAAUUCCAAGUGGGUGAAGCUUGCGGGAUUUGAUGAGCCUGAAGAGCUUCCUUUAGGAUUUCUUGUGAGACAAGUCAGCUUUUAUUUGUCUGGAAAAGUCUUUAUCUCACUUUUAUUUGUGAAGAACAGCUUUGGCAAAAUGAAGAUACUGCUGUGGAAAACUGGCUGGUCAAUAUGAGCUCCACUGAACUUUUGUUUUUGUUAACAAUGUACCUCAUUCUGAAGAAUAACUGUAGAAUGUACUGGGAAUGCAACAUCCUGAGAGAAGAAAGGACUGGCUAGAACAGCCCAGGUCCUGUUCCAGUUCCCUUGGAAACUGAAUGUCUUUCAAUGCUUUGUCCAGGGGGUAACUUCACCUUGGAGUAUAAAACCCAGGGUGGGCUGCUUCUGCGGGUCCCUAGCUGAGGUACAAGUGUGGCAUGCACAGACAGGACUACACCUCCCCCGAGCAGCUUUCCCCAGCCUUGGAGGACUAGUUUGCCAUGAAUCCCAGGUGCUGUUGGCCCUUGCUGCCUAUCUGUAAGUAAUAAAUCCACGUACAUG